UAGAGUUUGAUCCUGGCUCAGAUUGAACGCUGGCGGCAUGCCUUACACAUGCAAGUCGAACGGCAGCACGGGAGCAAUCCUGGUGGCGAGUGGCGAACGGGUGAGUAAUAUAUCGGAACGUGCCCAGUCGUGGGGGAUAACGCAGCGAAAGCUGUGCUAAUACCGCAUACGAUCUAUGGAUGAAAGCGGGGGAUCGCAAGACCUCGCGCGAUUGGAGCGGCCGAUAUCAGAUUAGCUAGUUGGUGAGGUAACGGCUCACCAAGGCGACGAUCAGUAGCUGGUCUGAGAGGAUGAUCAGCCACAUUGGGACUGAGACACGGCCCAAACUCCUACGGGAGGCAGCAGUGGGGAAUAUUGGACAAUGGGCUCAAGCCUGAUCCAGCCAUGCCGCGUGAGUGAAGAAGGCCUUCGGGUUGUAAAGCUCUUUCGGCCGGGAAGAAAUCGCAUGGGUUAAUACCCUGUGUGGAUGACGGUACCGGAAUAAGAAGCACCGGCUAACUACGUGCCAGCAGCCGCGGAAUUC
This 523-nucleotide ribosomal RNA is filed under the name uncultured Ferribacterium sp. Its description in RNAcentral is "bacterial SSU rRNA". It matches the Rfam family "Bacterial small subunit ribosomal RNA", at positions 1 to 525 of the family's 1533-position model. Lineage: Bacteria; Pseudomonadati; Pseudomonadota; Betaproteobacteria; Rhodocyclales; Azonexaceae. The record is from RNAcentral.